AAAGAUAUGAAGCGUCAGAAGAUGGGCAGAAAUGAGCUUCAACAUCAAGGCUGGAGCUGGACAGCCUGGCGGCUGAUGAGGACAAGCUGGCAUCUGGCCACCAGGAGACUCUUUCUGAGAAGAACAAAAUUCCUGCCACCAGGAAUCCCCUAAUGUAACCAGUGGAUAUCGUGGGAGACACGACAGCCCCGGAUAAUAAACUGGUGUGUCCGGCUGACCCUCUACAACCACGGAGAGGAGUGGAGCACGCAGAGGGAGGCAAUUAGCAGGCUGGACCAU
Molecule: long non-coding RNA, 279 nt
Filed under: Capra hircus (goat)
Lineage: Eukaryota; Metazoa; Chordata; Mammalia; Artiodactyla; Bovidae
Description: lncRNA (ENSCHIG00010031918.1)
Source: RNAcentral